AGUGAACGCUGGCGGCAGGCUUUACACAUGCAAGUCGAACGGCAGCAGAGAAAAAGUUUCUUCUCUGGCGGGGCGAGGCGCGGGCGGGAGUAGUACAUCUCGGAAUGUCCUUUUUAGGGGGGGAACCAGCCGGGAAGCUUACGAAUAUACCGUAAAUGCUGUGCGAGUAAGAGCAGGGCAUGUUAGUACCCCGCGCGAUUUAUUGACGGGAUGUCGGAUUAGCUAGUUGGCGGGGUAAAGGCCCACCAAGGCGAAGAUCUGUAGCGGGUCUGAGAGGAUGAUCCGCCACACUGGGACUGAGACACGGCCCAGACUCCUACGGGAGGCAGCAGUGGGGAAUUUUGGACAAUGGGGGCAAGCCUGAUCCAGCCAUGCCGCGUGUAUGAAGAAGGCCUUAGGGUUGUAAAGUACUUUUGUUAGGGAAGAAAAGCCAGCUGUGAAUAACGGCCGAUACUGACGGUACCUAAAGAAUAAGCACCGGCUAACUACGUG
RNAcentral lists this ribosomal RNA (492 nucleotides) under uncultured bacterium. RNAcentral's name for it is "partial 16S ribosomal RNA". It matches the Rfam family "Bacterial small subunit ribosomal RNA", at positions 29 to 507 of the family's 1533-position model. The record is from RNAcentral.